GGUUUCCUCUUCUGGCCUCAGUUUCCUUUUCUGUAAAUUGGGGAUAUAACAGGACCUGCCUCAUGGGUUUUCUUUUUUUUAGGCUUAAACGAGUUAAUUUUCUUGUGGUUAGAAUAGUCAGGCCCUAGGAAAUGCUCAGUAAACAUUUGUGAAUUUUUUAAAAGGAGUUAAACAUUCAUGGAGCUUGAGAACCAAUUAAGAACCUUCAGACAGUCCCUCACGAGGCAAACUGUCCCUUCUGGCUUUUUUUUUUUUUUUGAGAAAGAUUAGCACUGAGCUAACAUCUGCUGCCAAUAUUUCUCUUUUUGCUGAGGAAGACUGGCCCUGAGCUAACAUCCAUGCCAUCUUCCUGUACUUUAUAUGUGGGAUGCCUACCACAGCAUAGUUUGCCAAGUAGUGCCAUGUCCGCACCCAGGAUCCGAACCGGUGAAACCCAGGCCGCCGGAGCAGAACGUGCGCACUUAACCGCUGUGCCACCGGGAUGGCCCCUCUUCUGGCUUUUUAAAAAGUUAAACUUUGUGAAAAUAACCACAUUUAGAUUGGUGCUGACUGGAGUGGCUUAAUCCAGACAGGGGCUGGGGGCUGAUGAUGCUGUCUGCACCCCCGCCUCACCCCCACGCCCUGGGACUCACGUCCUGCCUCCCUCCCUGUGUCACGGGUUCAAUUCCUCAUGAUGACAUGUCCAGAAAAGCUUGGCCAAUACCUGUGACUUACCAUCUAAAACAUUCCUUGUUUAACUUAAUUAAUGAGCCUUGAAUGCAUUCGUUGCCGCCCUUGAGCAAAUAUUUAUUGCACUGUGAUGCUGAGCAGACGCUGUAAUCCCACAGUUGGAGUCAAACCCAGGGCCCGCCCCAAGGAAAAUCGCACAAGUCAGACCAGGCCUGGUGGCUACAGCCCUGGAGUGCUGGAGACCGGCUCUGGACAGCUUCCAUGAGGCCGAAAACAUCAGAAUGCCCUUGGCCCUUGUGGUCCCGAGGCUCCAUGACGUGCUCGCCAUCCUCCUUUCCUGUUGAUAAACAGGCCGCUGCCUGCGGGCCCAGGACCAGGUGUGAGACACAUGGAGGGGUGGAUGGAGGUCAGACUGUUGGGGGCAAAGGCUCCUGCUUCCCCGAGCUGACCCCGCCUCUGCCAGGAGAAAGAGACUCAGAUUUCAGAGCUCUGCUGUGGGUCUGGCACUUUGUUUACGUGAGGUCAUUUGGUCCUCGUAACCAGGUCCCACGCCUCCCCCUCUCCACAUUUGACAUAUGAGAAUGCUUAAAAGUUCAUGUUUACCUUGUGUGGACUUGCUCAAAGUCACAUGGCUAGGAGGUGGCAGAGCUGGGAUGGGAACCAAAUCUUGUUCUUUUUAUCAGGCCAUGAAGAAAUCACCAUUUUUCUGGGUCUUAAAUUCCCUUUUCAAAACACUGCACAGAGGGGCUGUCCCUCAGAUCUUCCAGGAAAGGCCAUGCCGGCCGUAGGGGCAGCCCUCAACACCACGUCUGGGCACCUCGUUGCUGGGCCUUCAUCCCCCGGGGCUGUGGGAGCACGGGGGCGGGGCUGUGUGAUUUGUGGAGGGUGGGGUCUCCUGGAGCUUCCAUGAGGCAAUAGUAGCAUUUGAGCUGCUCAGGAAAGACCCAACUGGGUGGCGCCAUCUUGAGCACCUGGAGAGGGUGUGGCGCCAGUUUCCAAGGCAGCAUGGUGAGACCCCCUCUUGCCCACGCCCCAGAGGGGCAUUCUUCACGGAGCCUGCACUGACCAUUCUCUGGGGGGCGUGGAAGACAGUCAGAAAGACCACCCUGCCUCCUUCUGGACACGCUGCUAGAGACCGAUUACUCGAUGUUCAAUUUUCCACAUGCUUUUCCGUUUUUUGAACUCAGUUCCUACAUCCUGAUCCCACAUCAUGUGCCCACACUCCCAGGUGGCAGAACCCAGAUUUCUUCAGUUGCCUGUUUCAAAGUUGCCCACCAAGCAGAACCUCGUCUUUCUGGAAUCUGCCCUCAGAUGACAGAAUCCUUUAACCAUCCCAACUCCUGAGCCACCUGUUUGGGUGUCAGAGUGAAACAAAUACCAGCUUUCUGUGCCAUCACAGUCUCAUGGGGAAGCCUGGGGAGAGCACACUUUGACAGGCACAGUCUCCAUCUGGUGACCAG
This 2129-nucleotide long non-coding RNA is filed under the name Equus caballus (horse). Its description in RNAcentral is "lncRNA (ENSECAG00000057979.1)". Lineage: Eukaryota; Metazoa; Chordata; Mammalia; Perissodactyla; Equidae. The record is from RNAcentral.